This 165-nucleotide ribosomal RNA is filed under the name uncultured bacterium. RNAcentral's name for it is "partial 16S rRNA". It matches the Rfam family "Bacterial small subunit ribosomal RNA", at positions 355 to 511 of the family's 1533-position model. The record is from RNAcentral.
UAGGGAAUCUUUCGGCAAUGGACGAAAGUCUGACCGAGCAACGCCGCGUGAGUGAAGAAGGUUUUCGGAUCGUAAAACUCUGUUGUUAGAGAAGAACAAGGGUGAGAGUAACUGUUCACCCCUUGACGGUAUCUAACCAGAAAGCCACGGCUAACUACGUACCAG